UAGCAUAUCAAUAAGCGGAGGAAAAGAAACCAACAGGGAUUGCCCCAGUAACGGCGAGUGAAGCGGCAACAGCUCAAAUUUGAAAUCUGGCCCCUCGGGUCCGAGUUGUAAUUUGUAGAGGAUGCUUUUGGCAAGGCGCCGCCCGAGUUCCCUGGAACGGGACGCCACAGAGGGUGAGAGCCCCGUCUGGCUGGCCGCCGAGCCUCUGUAAAGCUCCUUCGACGAGUCGAGUAGUUUGGGAAUGCUGCUCAAAAUGGGAGGUAUAUGUCUUCUAAAGCUAAAUAUUGGCCAGAGACCGAUAGCGCACAAGUAGAGUGAUCGAAAGAUGAAAAGCACCUUGAAAAGAGGGUUAAAUAGUACGUGAAAUUGUUGAAAGGGAAGCGCUUGUGACCAGACUUGGGCGCGGCGGAUCAUCCGGGGUUCUCCCCGGUGCACUUCGCCGCGUCCAGGCCAGCAUCAGUUCGUCGCGGGGGAAAAAGGCUCCGGGAACGUGGCUCCCCUGGGAGUGUUAUAGCCCGUUGCACAAUACCCUGCGGUGGACUGAGGACCGCGCAUCUGCAAGGAUGCUGGCGUAAUGGUCACCAGCGACCCGUCUUGAAACACGGACCAAGGAGUCGUCUUCGUAUGCGAGUGUUCGGGUGUCAAACCCCUACGCGUAAUGAAAGUGAACGCAGGUGAGAGCUUCGGCGCAUCAUCGACCGAUCCUGAUGUUCUCGGAUGGAUUUGAGUAAGAGCAUACGGGGCCGGACCCGAAAGAAGGUGAACUAUGCCUGUAUAGGGUGAAGCCAGAGGAAACUCUGGUGGAGGCUCGCAGCGGUUCUGACGUGCAAAUCGAUCGUCAAAUAUGGGCAUGGGGGCGAAAGACUAAUCGAACCUUCUAGUAGCUGGUUUCCCCAA
This 897-nucleotide ribosomal RNA is filed under the name Trichoderma konilangbra. RNAcentral describes it as "LSU rRNA". It matches the Rfam family "Eukaryotic large subunit ribosomal RNA", at positions 36 to 963 of the family's 3401-position model. Lineage: Eukaryota; Fungi; Ascomycota; Sordariomycetes; Hypocreales; Hypocreaceae. The record is from RNAcentral.